This 889-nucleotide long non-coding RNA is filed under the name Homo sapiens (human). Its description in RNAcentral is "HSALNT0157845". Lineage: Eukaryota; Metazoa; Chordata; Mammalia; Primates; Hominidae. The record is from RNAcentral.
AAUUAGUAAUAGGAAAAACCCAGAAAGAGACAGAGAGAAAGGGGGGAAAAAAUCCUCUGAGAACCCUGGUAUAUGUGGCCGGCUAAUUCAAAAAAGUCCCAGCCUUGCCCCUGCCAUAAAGCAGGGGACCCCAGUCUGGAAGGAGCUCUCCACAGGAACAAGGGCGGUUGGAGGAUGAGGCUCAAGGAAACAAACUGGAGAGAGAGAGAUGCUAUCAGCCUCAUUCCAGAGUUAUAGAACGUGGAUGAAAUAAAUGCACCUGACGAUUGGUGCUAUGGACGGAAUGUUCAUGUUCCCAUCCUCAAAUUCAUCUGUGGAAGUCCUGACCCCAGUGUGGCUGUAUUUGGAGAUAGAGUCUUUAUAGAAGUAAUUAAGGCUAAAUUUGGUUGUAAGGGUGGGACCCUGAUCCAACAGAAUCAAUGUCCUUGUAAGAAGAGCCAGGAGAGAGCUUGCUUUCUCUCCACUAUGUGAGGACACCGUGAGGAGGCAGCUCUCUGCAAGCCAGAAGAAGAGCCCUCUCUGGAAACCAAAUCAGCAAAAGUACUCUGUGAUCAAAGGUGGCACACUCUCUUCCUGUAGGCAUGGGACAAAUCAGAAAUGAUGAAAAAAUGCAUCACUUCAAGUUUCAAAAUGCAGUUGGAGCAAAAUAGGAAGUAGUAAAGAUUCCUUGAAAUCUAUUUCAGAGCUGUUCCUUUGGGGCUAUGAAAUAAAAGACAAGACUGGUAGAAAUGACUUAAAAUGCAAAAAUGGCAAAGGUAAUGAUCACCGUGGGUAGGUUAUAAACGACUGUGGAGGUUUGGGGAGGCUAAAUCAUCCAGCCAACGGAAAAGUAGUCAUUUGAAUCUGAAGACAGUGAGCCUCUGCCUGCGUCUGUCUCAUGUAUUGGAAU